This 3762-nucleotide long non-coding RNA is filed under the name Homo sapiens (human). Its description in RNAcentral is "HSALNT0311824". The record is from RNAcentral. Lineage: Eukaryota; Metazoa; Chordata; Mammalia; Primates; Hominidae.
GAAAGCAGGGGAAAAGAUGUCAAGGAUCAGGACCUGAACACCCUCCAUCGGGGCACCCAGAGGUUAACAUGCUACUGUGCUCCCUACAGAGAAAGCUGGCUCCCAUAUCAGGCCCUCUGGCUUCUGCCAAGGAUCUGGGGGUAGGUGUUGGUGUCCCAGACACAUCCAUUCUGACACAGAGGGAGGUACAGUGCAGUCAUGCUGUUGGCCCAGGUGCACAGCACAUGGGCAGUAGCAGGGAGGGGCAGGCUCCAGUGCAGGCUUGCCACCUACCCCCACCCUGGUCCAUUCAUGAGGAAUGACUUUCCUCUGGGGAGGGGCCCUGUGGGGGUGGCAGGCAGAGCAGGGCCCUCUCCUGAGGGCUCCCUCUGCCCCCAGGCUCAGAGCGGGACCACCCUAGGGAAAUGUUCAUCUCUCCUGCGGUCUUGUCGGAACCCCUUCAAGGUCAUCGCUCCACAGCACUCCAAGUGCUUCCUCGUAUCCAGCCUUAGUCAGUCCUCAUGUUGCACUUGAUUCAUUUAUCAGAGGACAAGUUGAGGGCCCCAUUAUCCUGCCACCCAGUGUGACAUCACCGAGCUUCCCUCGGGCAUGUUCCCUCCCUGGGACUGCCCAGCCGGCACAGGAAAUGGCUGCUGGAUGAAUGUGCAAGUGAGUAAGUGUCUUGGAUCCUCCUCCCAUGGGAACACUAAGCGGCUAAGGAGUGGACCAGCUCCCCGGGGUCCAGGCUGAAACGGAGGCAGAAACAGGGACCAAGGAGGCAAACAGGCUCAAGAGAGCAACAGGACUGGGGACAGAGAUAAAGCAGGUGCACCCCCAGAGAGCCAAGUGUCCAAGAGCUCAGGACGGCUGCGCUGAGGGCCUCAGCCACAGAUGGCCUGAAGCAAGCAGGGCCCGCUGGGGAGAGCAUGGCAGAAACGGGGUGGGAUAGGAGGAGCUCAGGACACGGGGCCAUGAGAUGGGAGCCCAAAACCCAGGGGUGGGGGACCACAGUCCAGUAAGCGUGGCCCGGCCCAAGGUCACAGAGCAAGGACCCAGGGCCCCAGCCUCUCAGCCAUGACCUGGCCCUCUGUCCCCCAGCAGGGAACCUUAGCCAGGCCCAGUGCUGAGGUAGGAAUUUCUACAGGUAAGGAGGACACAGACGGUCAGAGAGACCACUGGCCCCAGAGUGCACAGGGGCUGCGCAUGAUGGUUGUGACUGCGUUCUGGUGCAGACUAACUGAAGAGCAGAGAUGAGGGAGAGAAGAGAAGGAGAGCCUUGGGCACCCCAACAGAGCAAGUCCCAGGCUGAGCCGCCCUCACCCUCUCGGCCCUACCUACCUACCUUCCACCUGGAUCCAGCUCAGUGCUGAUCACACAGUUUGCUGAAGGGAUAGAGCUGGGGAAUGUCAGAAAUGGGGAAACUGAGUCAGCUUCCAGGCCUCUUAAGUCCUUGACUGGGGCUCACCUGAUCCAGCCAGAGGCAAGGGAGACCUAAGCCACUCUGGAGCCUCCAUUUCCUGAUCUGUAACUCGGGGCUUGUUGUCCACUGGGGCCUCACUUCCCCAGACUGUGGCCCCCAUCCUUCUCCAGACCUCCUCCCUGCUCUAGCCCAGGGCCUCGCUUAGACCCCCACCCCCAGGGGAGCCUUGACAGAGGCCCAUGCCCACCCUUCCUUGUACACGCCUGAGCACGGCUGAUUCCUCCCUGUGAGCCCAGGCCAAUAAUGUGCUCUUCAUGCCACAAAGCUGAAAAGCACUCAGGAACCAGGUGCAAUCGGCCUAAGGGACCUGUCCAAGGCCACCCAGCCCUUAAGAAGCAAAGAAGGGCUGACCUGUCACUACCCACUGAUAUCUCAGGACCUGCAGGGGCAGGGUUAAAUGCACAUUCCCCUCUCACCCACACGGCAGCAAGAGAAAGAGUUAGGGUCCUGGGGGCUGCAAUCUGGGCAAUGCCUAAGCAGACAGCCUCAGACAAUGAAGGGCGAGUCAGGACUCAGUUGUGUCAACUUGGUAUAUACAACCUCUCCAAGCCUUGAUUUCAGCAGAAGCCCACAGAGAAAGCCCUGAUGCCUCUGCCUGCCAGUGCCUAAGGGCUGGGGAAAUGCCACCUGCCCCAGCUUCAUCCAGAAACUGUGGCUGCUCCCUCCCAUCUGCGGGGCACCUUGAUUAGUCUAAGUGGCCAGCAGACCCCAAGCAGAACCAGGCCAGUGCCUCACACAGAGCAGGCACUAGGAUGCCUGUCGACAGCACUCCUUCCCCUCCUUCCCAGGCCCCAAGCCCUUAUCGGACACGACUCAUUUUAAAGAAAAAAUAAUAUUUAUUUGCAAUAUAAACAAAGUCCCGUUGUUGGUUCGGGAUAUAUAUAUAUAUGUAUGUGUGUGUAUAUAUAUACGUAGGGUCACAAAUCUUCCUUCAUAAGAUCAUAAAGCAAAACUGGCCACCUUCUGGCAUACCCUCAUUUACACAAAUCUGGUACAUCUUUCUGGGUUUUCUUUUUAAAAAUAAAAGAGAGAAAAAGAGAACCAUGUACAGCAUGGAAGCUUGUUGUCAAUUUCUCGACUGUGGCAAGAUUUUAAUCUGCUGCGCUAAAGAAUCCCUGAAAGCCACCCCCGUGAGGUAAGAAGCAGUGGGGCAGAGUUUUUCUGUGGCCUCACUCACAUGCUGAGUGCUGCUCCGUCAGGGACCCUGGCCUGACUCCUCUGCCUGCCCCAGGCCCCCAUGCAGUCCUGACACCUGGUGGAACUGAGGCUGGAGAAGGAACAAAACUGGAGGAAGAUAACGGAAUCCGUGGCUUCGUUCUGUGGAGGCAGGGGGAAGUGAACAGAGCCUUACCCCCCUUCUGCUGGUCCAUCCUUGCCCCACUUGCCCCCGCCCUAGGGUUGAAAUGGGUGCAAGUCUCCUGGCAGUAGAAGGCAUGGGCAAGAUGAGGGCAGGGCAAGCUUCCAAGGGGACAAGGGGGCUGGGAGUGGCCAGACCAAAGCAACAGCUAGGGAGAAGGAAGAACCUGGAGGUCGGGCUGGGCCCCACCACCUAAUGUCUCCCCAGCCACUGGGCCUCCACUCCCAGUUACAACAAGAGAGAGGAAAGGAAGAGAGAGGGAGGGGGGGAGAGAGAAAGAAAGAGAGAGAGAGGGAGAGAGAGAAAGAGAGAGAGGGAGAGGAAGAGAGAGAGACAGACAGACAGACAGAAGUAGUGGCUAAGUAUAUAAAAGGGCUCAGAGCCCAGGCCUUCUUAGGGGCUGACCCCAGAGGGCUAAUGCUACUGCCUGGCAGCCCCCUGCGGCCCACCUCCUGGGGGACAGCGGCAGGGCCCCAGGGUCCCCACCUUCUGCCUCAGGGAGGUCUGCAGGGACCACCAGAGGGAUGGAUGAGACGGCAGAAAAUGCAAAGACCACCAUCCAGCCCACCAAUCACAACUUGCAGCAGUCAUCACAGGCGAAUGCAGAGCUAAGUCAGACUGGGCCAAGGGUGGGAGGCGGCACGACUGGGGGUCCCAAUACCUGAAGAGCAGUAAGCCACCCCUUCAAGAAGGGCCCGCUGAGGAAACAGAGGCUUCACACAUGUGCAAAACGCAUUUGGUCAAGGUCAACAUGGCGUCUGUCUUUUCCAUUAAAAAACAAAAACAAAAACAAACACGAUACUUGCUUUUUGAAAUUGAACGAAAAACAAAACUGAACAUUUCUCUCUCUUGCAGGAUCAGGAAAGGGAUGAAAUACUGGGUUAUACAAUCCACUGUUGCAUGUAGCCUGAAAAUAACACUUUUUGUUAAAAAAAAAAAAAAAAAA